CAAGUAGACUCUCGAUCAAUCCUCAAACACUGAGCUAGAGAAGUGGAAGUAUGACCAGAUCCUGUAUUGCGUAGGGAUACAACGUACAUAGACGACUACCGAUUAGAGCACCAGCAUGUAGCUCAGGGAUAAGGGAUAACAUAAUGCCAUAAAUAACAAUUCAAAUCAUUCAAAAUUUUAUUGCAUAUUAUCAAAUGCAUAUACGUAUAUAUAUAUAUCACAUGUCGGGG
Molecule: long non-coding RNA, 230 nt
Filed under: Capsicum annuum
Lineage: Eukaryota; Viridiplantae; Streptophyta; Magnoliopsida; Solanales; Solanaceae
Description: long non-coding RNA (CANN_LNC007900)
Source: RNAcentral